This 157-nucleotide ribosomal RNA is filed under the name Dothideomycetes sp. 1 GS-2016. RNAcentral's name for it is "5.8S ribosomal RNA". It matches the Rfam family "5.8S ribosomal RNA". Rfam says of the family: 5.8S ribosomal RNA (5.8S rRNA) is a component of the large subunit of the eukaryotic ribosome. It is transcribed by RNA polymerase I as part of the 45S precursor that also contains 18S and 28S rRNA. The record is from RNAcentral. RNAcentral also lists the same sequence under 6 other names. Lineage: Eukaryota; Fungi; Ascomycota; Dothideomycetes.
AACUUUCAACAACGGAUCUCUUGGUUCUGGCAUCGAUGAAGAACGCAGCGAAAUGCGAUAAGUAAUGUGAAUUGCAGAAUUCAGUGAAUCAUCGAAUCUUUGAACGCACAUUGCACCCUCUGGUAUUCCGGGGGGUAUAUUUGUUCCAGCGUUAUUA